Long non-coding RNA from Schistocerca americana (American grasshopper), 754 nucleotides. RefSeq lists it as uncharacterized. Lineage: Eukaryota; Metazoa; Arthropoda; Insecta; Orthoptera; Acrididae. The transcript has 4 exons. The record is from RefSeq and is a predicted model, not a curated record.
CUAAUACAAGUGAUAAACAAUUCAGUUCUACAGGAUUUUCUGAAAAAUUAUCAGGAAACAAACUAAAAACUUUGGGAAACAUCCAGAGUUUUAUUCAUCCACAAAUUUAUCCAGGAAAUGGAGCUGACAAAUGAAAAAUACAAAUUUGCCAUAGUAAAAUUUCCUGAAGAAGAUGAUGCUCUAGGAAUAAUAGCCUUAUGCUGGAUUCAAAAUGAUGGGAGCACAUGUUUAUACCCACCCGUGACCACUGAUAGCAAAAGAAAUAAAUUAUUGAGGAAAGAAGCCUUACCAUUACAAUCCUGGAGUUCUCAUAAGAUAUCUUUAAUGUAAAAAUAUGCUUCAUUCUCAUCCUCACCAUCUACUGGUAUGGAAGUUCGUGAAAUGUGGUCUUCCAUCCCUCCAAAUUCAUUAACUCCUAGGCCUAGUUCAUUCUCCAAUGCCAAAAUUCCUCCAGCACCACUUGCUUCAGCACCACUUGCUUCAGCACACUGCCCGAGAAAAUAAAAAUCUGCACCACUGGAUGUUGAGCGGAUCUGGCUCAUUCUUGGCCAGUUACAAGCUGCAGCAGCUAGCCAGUCUGAGGAAAUCUCUCAGCUGAACAGAAAAAUUGACCUGUUAUUGGCUCGAGGAUGUGUCAACAGUACUUAUCAGGAGGCGGAUGAAAGUAAUGAGCAGGCACUAAACAGUCUCCCUUUAUCAUCAAUGGAAGAAUUUGAUGAAUUUGAGGAAAAAUUGAAACAACAGGAAUUCAAAA